Long non-coding RNA from Mauremys reevesii (Reeves's turtle), 1547 nucleotides. RefSeq lists it as uncharacterized. The record is from RefSeq and is a predicted model, not a curated record. NCBI's taxonomy places the organism in Eukaryota, Metazoa, Chordata, Testudines, Geoemydidae. The transcript is spliced from 5 exons.
ACUGGAGGCUGGGCUAGGAGAUGACAGUUUGGAUGUUAGAGUAGUUGUAUAACCUACACCUUGAGCCCUGCACCCCUUUGCGGUGAGGGGAAAUCCUGGGACUGACGCCGCCUGAUUCCUGCUUGAGGAGGAUCCCUGACAGCAGCCCCUGUGCAGUGACUGAGGAGUCCCACGUCAUCUUCGAACCUGAGGAUCAUUCAUGGAGUUUCAUCCAGAAGCAUACUAGAUGCUUGCUUCACAGGAAAAGCAGAAAGGCAUCAUCCCUGACCUUGAGCCAAUGUGCUUACACUCUAGUUUCAGACAUCACACAAGUGGUAAAAAAGGGCACAGUGCUGCAGUCCUUGCAAAGGCAAAACUCCUACUGACUUCCAUGAAAGCUUUGGGUAAAUAAAGACUGCAGGAUCAGCUUCUAUACUUGUAAGUAAUCCUUCCUCUGCCCGCUCCUGUAACAGUGGGAAGGUGACGCUACAGCAAAGCAUUGUGCCUCAGGAGACUGGAAAUAAAAUUCUAUUAUGAGACUUCACGUGAUGAGCCUUGCUGAAUUGCUGACACCGGACCUGGAUACAGUGUUCCGGUAGUGGUUGCAUCAGUGCCAAAUACAGGGGUAAUAUAACUUCUCUAUUCAUACUCAAGAUUCACCUAUUUAUACAUCCCAGGGUUAUAUUAGCCCAUGUGGUCACAGCAUAGCUCUAGGAGCUCAUAUUCAGCUGAGUAUAAACCAUGACCUCAGGUCUUUUUCAGAGUCAUUUUUUCCCAGGAUAGAGACCCCUGUCCUAUAAGUAUGGCCUACAUAUUGACUCAGGUGAACUACUGUGAAAGUGGUUGUACAUAAUAUAGUUGAAACACUUAUGUAAAAUAUACUAAACAGAUAUGUCAAGGCAAGGACAGGUGUAUUGGCCACAAACUAUUCUGUUUAAAGAGAAGAUGUACACUGCAUAAAUGUGCAAUUAAACUCUGUCUUCAUUGUCCAGAUCAUGCCCUCCUGCAGGAAAAGUCCAUGGGAAAAAAAUCAGGGUAGACAAACACUUCAUAGCAUCCUCACAGAAUUUCCUACAAAUUUUUGCAUUAGUCGGUAGGCUUUACCCACUGUCCUGUAAAUAUGGCCCAACAUAUUAGAAUCAUAUAGUAACUGCACAUGAGUUAGGAACACUUCUGUCAGAUGGUUUGUUGGGGAAGCCAUCUGUCUGGGGCAUAUCCAGUUCCAAUUAGUUGUAAUAAUAUAGUUUGUUGAAAUUUUUAUUUUUUUUUAAAUCAGGGAAAAUGGAAAUGAAAUAUUCUGUUUUAGGCUGGUUUGACCUGAAUCGGUCAGUUCAACAAAAGUUGGGUUUCCCUUUUGUGGGGUAUUGCCUUGUGGGGCCCUGAUUCUCUGCCAUAGGCCAGACUCCCUGGAAGACUACAUUUCCCAUAAUUUGAUGUCAACUCCCCUCUGUCCAGCCUGUGUGGUGCACUAGGAGAGUUGCAUAACUCUGGGUGCAUCAAAGGAGAUGAAGACUGGGGAGCCUGGGCCAUAGGGGAGAAUGGGGGAUUCAGGAUCUUGAACUACAACU